Molecule: long non-coding RNA, 762 nt
Organism: Malania oleifera
Lineage: Eukaryota; Viridiplantae; Streptophyta; Magnoliopsida; Santalales; Ximeniaceae
Exons: 4
Source: RefSeq, a predicted model, not a curated record
ACUCGCUCCGCUCCCUCUACUCAAUCGUUUCCACCCCAACAUCCAAAGUGUCUCCUUCAAAUCGAACCGCCAGACUUGCGUUCUCAUCUCCAUUACUUCCUGUUUGACGUUUACGGAGAAAACCCACCAAAUGAUUUUCAAUGCUUGAACUUUGAAAAGAAGAAAAAGCUUUGCUGCGCAGUCGUAUAAGUAUUGGGUGCUCUUGAUUUGAGUUUUUCAUUGGGUUGUGCGGCUCGUAGGCGGGACUUACUCUGGUUGGCCUACCAGACAAGUCAAUCUGAAUCUCUAUCAACCAAUAAUUUGGCCCACUGCAGUCUCUCCGGGCACACUACUACCUCGUCAAACCGGCCACCUUAACCUAGUCUUCUGGGGAGACUGCAAUCUCUCCUGGCACGGUUGGACGGAAUCCACACACUAUCUGAGCACUCGGAAUCUAGUGCAGAAUCCUGUGUAUUUUCAAUUCAGAUUCUUACAAUGAUAGAUGGUAAUGGAUUAUUAUAACAAGAAUGAAGCUGAUCUUACAUUUUCAAUGCCUUCCCCAUUUCUCACAAAAGAAAAACGAGGAAGCAGGGGCAGUGUUGCUUUAGCUUCACAUAGAGAAAAUGAGGUUCAGAAGGUACUUUCCUCGUGAAGUUGAUUUCCUUUUAUCUUAGAAUUGGAUUUGAUUUGGGAGAAAACCGUGGGUUCUUUCGCUCUUUAAUGUAUUAUGAAAUUCUAUUGAAUAUGAUGAUCAAUUGAUUUCCCCCCUUUACUGCUUGCAAA